CAAUGGCGUAUAUUAAAGUUGUUGCAGUUAAAAAGCUCGUAGUUGGAUUUCGGGGCAGCCUGGCUGGUCCGCCGCAAGGCGAGUACUGGUCAGCCGCCCUUCCUCUCGAAAGCCCCGACUGCUCUUCGUUGCAGUGGUCGGGUAGUUCGGGACGUUUACUUUGAAAAAAUUAGAGUGUUCAAGGCAGGCCUACGCCUGAAUACAUUAGCAUGGAAUAAUGGAAGAGGACCUCGGUCCUAUUUUGUUGGUUUCCAGGGCCGAAGUAAUGAUUAAGAGGGACAGUUGGGGGCAUUCGUAUUUAAUUGUCAGAGGUGAAAUUCUCGGAUUUAUGAAAGACGAACAACUGCGAAAGCAUUUGCCAAGGAUGUUUUCAUUAA
RNAcentral lists this ribosomal RNA (377 nucleotides) under uncultured eukaryote. Its description in RNAcentral is "partial 18S ribosomal RNA". It matches the Rfam family "Eukaryotic small subunit ribosomal RNA", at positions 592 to 976 of the family's 1831-position model. The record is from RNAcentral.